GCUACCAUAGCUCAGUUGGUAGAGCAACUGAUUCGUAAUCAGUAGGUCGUGGGUUCAAAUCCCAUUGGUAGCU
This 73-nucleotide transfer RNA is filed under the name Lachnospira multipara. It matches the Rfam family "tRNA". Rfam says of the family: Transfer RNA (tRNA) molecules are approximately 80 nucleotides in length. Lineage: Bacteria; Bacillati; Bacillota; Clostridia; Lachnospirales; Lachnospiraceae. The record is from Rfam by way of RNAcentral.